UAACCUGCCUGGUAGCGGGGGAUAACUAUUGGAAACGAUAGCUAAUACCGCAUAAGAGUAGAUGUUGCAUGACAUUUGCUUAAAAGAUGCAAUUGCAUCACUACCAGAUGGACCUGCGUUGUAUUAGCUAGUUGGUGGGGUAACGGCUCACCAAGGCAACGAUACAUAGCCGACCUGAGAGGGUGAUCGGCCACACUGGGACUGAGACACGGCCCAG
RNAcentral lists this ribosomal RNA (217 nucleotides) under uncultured bacterium. RNAcentral describes it as "partial 16S ribosomal RNA". It matches the Rfam family "Bacterial small subunit ribosomal RNA", at positions 122 to 334 of the family's 1533-position model. The record is from RNAcentral.